GAACGCUGGCGGCGUGCUUAACACAUGCAAGUCGAACGGAAAGGCCCUGCUUUUGUGGGGUGCUCGAGUGGCGAACGGGUGAGUAACACGUGAGUAACCUGCCCUUGACUUUGGGAUAACUUCAGGAAACUGGGGCUAAUACCGGAUAGGAGCUCCUGCUGCAUGGUGGGGGUUGGAAAGUUUCGGCGGUUGGGGAUGGACUCGCGGCUUAUCAGCUUGUUGGUGGGGUAGUGGCUUACCAAGGCUUUGACGGGUAGCCGGCCUGAGAGGGUGACCGGCCACAUUGGGACUGAGAUACGGCCCAGACUCCUACGGGAGGCAGCAGUGGGGAAUAUUGCACAAUGGGCGGAAGCCUGAUGCAGCAACGCCGCGUGCGGGAUGACGGCCUUCGGGUUGUAAACCGCUUUCGCCUGUGACGAAGCGUGAGUGACGGUAAUGGGUAAAGAAGCACCGGCUAACUACGUGCCAGCAGCCGCGGUGAUACGUAGGGUGCGAGCGUUGUCCGGAUUUAUUGGGCGUAAAGGGCUCGUAGGUGGUUGAUCGCGUCGGAAGUGUAAUCUUGGGGCUUAGCCCUGAGCGUGCUUUCGAUACGGGUUGACUUGAGGAAGGUAGGGGAGAAUGGAAUUCCUGGUGGAGCGGUGGAAUGCGCAGAUAUCAGGAGGAACACCAGUGGCGAAGGCGGUUCUCUGGGCCUUUCCUGACGCUGAGGAGCGAAAGCGUGGGGAGCGAACAGGCUUAGAUACCCUGGUAGUCCACGCUGUAAACGGUGGGUACUAGGUGUGGGGUCCAUUCCACGGGUUCCGUGCCGUAGCUAACGCUUUAAGUACCCCGCCUGGGGAGUACGGCCGCAAGGCUAAAACUCAAAGGAAUUGACGGGGCCCCGCACAAGCGGCGGAGCAUGCGGAUUAAUUCGAUGCAACGCGUAGAACCUUACCUGGGUUUGACAUGGAUCGGGAGUGCUCAGAGAUGGGUGUGCCUCUUUUGGGGUCGGUUCACAGGUGGUGCAUGGCUGUCGUCAGCUCGUGUCGUGAGAUGUUGGGUUAAGUCCCGCAACGAGCGCAACCCUUGUUCACUGUUGCCAGCACGUUAUGGUGGGGACUCAGUGGAGACCGCCGGGGUCAACUCGGAGGAAGGUGGGGAUGACGUCAAGUCAUCAUGCCCCUUAUGUCCAGGGCUUCACGCAUGCUACAAUGGCUGGUACAGAGAGUGGCGAGCCUGUGAGGGUGAGCGAAUCUCGGAAAGCCGGUCUCAGUUCGGAUUGGGGUCUGCAACUCGACCUCAUGAAGUCGGAGUCGCUAGUAAUCGCAGAUCAGCAACGCUGCGGUGAAUACGUUCCCGGGGCUUGUACACACCGCCCGUCAAGUCAUGAAAGUUGGUAACACCCGAAGCCGGUGGCCUAACCGUUGUGGGGGAGCCGUCGAAGGUGGGACUGGUGAUUAGG
RNAcentral lists this ribosomal RNA (1441 nucleotides) under uncultured organism. RNAcentral's name for it is "16S ribosomal RNA". It matches the Rfam family "Bacterial small subunit ribosomal RNA". The record is from RNAcentral.